AGAGUUUGAUCCUGGCUUAGGAUGAACGCUGGCGGCGUGCCUAACACAUGCAAGUCGAACGAAGCACUUUUGAUCGGAGAUUCGUCAAAGAUUGGAUUUGACUUAGUGGCGGACGGGUGAGUAAUGUAUGAGCAACCUGCCUUUCAGAGGGGGACAACAGUUGGAAACGACUGCUAAUACCGCAUAAUGUAUUUUUGAGGGCAUCCUCGAGAUACCAAAGGAGCAAUCCGCUGAAAGAUGGGCUCAUAUCUGAUUAGUUAGUUGGCAGGGUAACGGCCUACCAAGACUGCGAUCAGUAGCCGGACUGAGAGGUUGAACGGCCACAUUGGGACUGAGAUACGGCCCAGACUCCUACGGGAGGCAGCAGGUGGGGAAUAUUGGGCAAUGGGCGAAAGCCUCGACCCAGCAACGCCGCGUGAAGGAAGAAGGUCUUCGGAUUGUAAACUUCUUUUAUGAGGGACGAAGGACGUGACGGUACCUCAUGAAUAAGCCACGGCUAACUACGUGCCAGCAGCCGC
This 518-nucleotide ribosomal RNA is filed under the name uncultured bacterium. Its description in RNAcentral is "bacterial SSU rRNA". It matches the Rfam family "Bacterial small subunit ribosomal RNA", at positions 8 to 518 of the family's 1533-position model. The record is from RNAcentral.